Elaeis guineensis (African oil palm) is the source of this 196-nucleotide non-coding RNA. The record is from RefSeq and is a predicted model, not a curated record. Lineage: Eukaryota; Viridiplantae; Streptophyta; Magnoliopsida; Arecales; Arecaceae.
GCUCUGCUCUCGUUCUUGCUCUCACGCCUUCGCAAGAUCGAAGGAGAUGGUGGAGCACGGCGCAGAAACGAACGCCGAAUGACAGGAGAAAUUACUUUUCUAAUGCGGUCGUUAAUACAUUGCGGAUGGAAUUACUGUAGAAGAUUGAAGAUAAACUUCACAUUCAGCUCUAUUUUGACAGAUGAUGUACGGUCAU